This 90-nucleotide transfer RNA is filed under the name Fundicoccus ignavus. It matches the Rfam family "tRNA". From Rfam's summary of the family: Transfer RNA (tRNA) molecules are approximately 80 nucleotides in length. Their secondary structure includes four short double-helical elements and three loops (D, anti-codon, and T loops). The record is from Rfam by way of RNAcentral. Lineage: Bacteria; Bacillati; Bacillota; Bacilli; Lactobacillales; Aerococcaceae.
GGAGAGUUGUCCGAGCUGGCCGAAGGAGCACGAUUGGAAAUCGUGUAGGUGAGUAACAUCGCCUCAAGGGUUCGAAUCCCUUACUCUCCG